CCCUCGUAUCGGAUUCUUCCAAGCCAUGAAACUGUUAACUCCAUGGUUCUCUGCUCCCCCAUCCCCCUUUUGGCUGUUAACUUCUGUAUUGGUCUCUACAUUAUAUGUUCCCAUCCCUGAAUUUUCUUCUGCUGGUACUAAUUCUUAGC
This is a long non-coding RNA of Hibiscus syriacus, 149 nucleotides long. RefSeq lists it as uncharacterized. The transcript has 2 exons. The record is from RefSeq and is a predicted model, not a curated record. Lineage: Eukaryota; Viridiplantae; Streptophyta; Magnoliopsida; Malvales; Malvaceae.